Molecule: long non-coding RNA, 1544 nt
Organism: Liolophura sinensis
Lineage: Eukaryota; Metazoa; Mollusca; Polyplacophora; Chitonida; Chitonidae
Exons: 3
Source: RefSeq, a predicted model, not a curated record
GGGGAUGGAAGAGGUUUAUUUCGGACAUCCUGAUGCUAGUUAUAGAAGUGAAGCAUUUGCGUGUUGCUCAAAUACUGAAUAAUAGUUUAACAACACACUACAUUCACAUGUAUACAGAUUUAACUUUAAUUUUGUAUUAAGUCUGAGGAGUUUUCUGGUACAGGGUUAUUCCAGGUGUCUUGGCAGAAAAGUUAGAUGUAGCAUGUUUUAUGUUGUAAUUUUAGCUCCAGGAAAGAGGAUGGCAUCAAACCAGAACUGCCUGGACCAAAACCUUCACUGAGCUUUACGAAAGAAACCAACUCACCCCGGCCUUUUACUUUCUCAAAGGGUCGUCACGUAGCCAGCAGUAAAACAAAGACAUCCUCUAAAGAUGGUACAUCGUCUGAUGAAUCCAGUAGUUCUACUCCUGUGAGACGGACGUCCGCUAAAGAGAGAGAAUCAGUGGACAGUACUUCACCCGACAGUUCCCCGAAUGCCCCCAUCAAUGACCUCAACAGAUCAAGUGAUGGAAGUCCCUCGGGGAAGUGACAAUGGCUGAUUGGGGAGCCAGUACGGGAAUCAUGUGAAAUGACAGCCGGAUGAUCAUGGUAAUGGGACACAGUGAAAUACUAUCAAUGCAGUGGCCAUCCAUGUACAUAAAAUGUCAAUAUAUGCACCAGUGCUCAUUUCAAAUGCAUUCUUAUCAGCAUAUAGUGGCUGUAACAGCAAUACAUGACAGACAAGUACAUGCAUUGGGGAACAGUCUGAACUCUUAAAACUCCUGAUGGCCUUUAACAAAGCAGCUUAAAGUCAUGUGCUCUUUUGCUCUUGUCUGUUGUUUGUGACAUUGUAUAUGUGCCCGUAAAACAUUGAGGUUGUACUCAAGCGCUGAAAGGUUACAACUGGGAAUUGUGUGUUUACUGUGGUUUGGGCCUCUUGUUUGGCCUGUCAGAGUCUGUGAACCUUUGAUCAUUUGUAUUUGUCAUCUGUGAGACUGUUUGCCCAGCUGUCAUUAUUACUCUACUCCUGCCAUCACAAGAAAGUGUUUAGCUACCACAAGUGUCUCUGUAUGUCUAUCUGCCUGUUGUUGGUCUGUAUGUUUGUCGGUCACUCAAAGUUUUUGAUAUCUUUUAACAUGGGCCAUUCACAUUCAACAUGUAUAAUGAGAUGAGGUACCUGGGUGGAAGACAGCAGUCUCUAUGCUGGAUUUCUGGCUGCUGAAAAAUUUGUUCUUGUUUUAUCAUGUGCAGGGAGUUUUUUGAGCAAAGAGAGAUGGGAAACUCUCCGUAGAGAGAAAGCUUAAUGGCUCUGUACAUUAUCAAUGAAGCUUGUGAUUUUAAUAGUUAUAUACAUUUAUAUAUACAAUAUAAAUAUUUCAGUUAUAAAAACUUUGACAAUUUUUUUUGCAUUGUGUGUUAUGUUACUUUAAAAGAACUAAUCAUUUAAAAAUUGAAAAAACGUACUUUUCAUUUUGUAUACUGUUCUACAACUUGUACAUAUAUAACUUUUGUUCUUUUUCUGUUUUUUUUUUCUUAUGCAUAUAUUAGUGUUCAUUCAACAGUGCC